This is a non-coding RNA of Helianthus annuus (common sunflower), 103 nucleotides long. The record is from Rfam. NCBI's taxonomy places the organism in Eukaryota, Viridiplantae, Streptophyta, Magnoliopsida, Asterales, Asteraceae.
GUCCCUUUCGGGACAUCCGAUAAAACUGGAAUAAUACAGAGAAGAUUAGCAUGACCCUUGCGUAAGAAUAACACUUACAAAUCAAGAAAUGGUCUACAUUAAG